GACGAACGCUGGCGGCGUGCCUAAUACAUGCAAGUAGAACGCACAGUUUAUACCGUAGCUUGCUACACCAUAAACUGUGAGUUGCGAAUGGGUCAGUAACGCGUAGGUAACCUGCCUGGUAGCGGGGGAUAACUAUUGGAAACGAUAGCUAAUACCGCAUAAUUUUGAUUAUUGCUUGAUAAUUGAUUGAAAGCUGCUAUUGCAUCACUACCAGUUGGACCUGCGUUGUAUUAGCUAGUAGGAGAAGUAACGGCUAACCUAGGCGACGACACAUAGCCCAAAUCAUGGGGUGAUCAGACACACUGGGGCCGGGACAAGGCCCAGACACCUAAAGAGGCACGCAGUAGUGGACCUUAGGAUAUGGACGAGAGUCUGAACGAGCAACGCCGCGUGAAGGAUAAAGAGUCUCGAGUCGUAAAGCACUGUAAUAAGAGAAGAACGGGUGUGAGAAUGGAAAGUUCACACUGUGACGGUAUCUAACCAGAAAGGCACGGCUAACUACGUG
Molecule: ribosomal RNA, 505 nt
Filed under: uncultured bacterium
Lineage: Bacteria
Description: partial 16S ribosomal RNA
Rfam family: Bacterial small subunit ribosomal RNA
Source: RNAcentral